The sequence is a ribosomal RNA, 403 nucleotides long. It matches the Rfam family "Eukaryotic small subunit ribosomal RNA", at positions 582 to 975 of the family's 1831-position model.
AUUCCAGCUCCAAUAGCGUAUAUUAAAGUUGUUGCAGUUAAAAAGCUCGUAGUUGGAUUUCUGAAUGAAAUAUCCGGUCCGCUUGUCUUUGAUGAGUGUGUACUUUAGAUAUUUGGUUCAUUUUUUGUGAGGAAAUUUAUCUGUCAUUAAGUUGAUGGAUUUAUAGACUUGCAUCAUUUACUGUGAAAAAAUUAGAGUGUUUAAAACAGGCGUUUGCCCAUUUGAAUACAUUAGCAUGGAAUAAUAAGAUAUGACUUUGGUGGUCUAUUUUGUUGGUUUGCACACCAGAGUAAUGAUUAAUAGGGACAGUUGGGGGUAUUCAUAUUUCAACGUCAGAGGUGAAAUUCUUAGAUCGUUGAAAGAUGAGCUUAGGCGAAAGCAUUUACCAUGGAUGUUUUCAUUG